RNAcentral lists this ribosomal RNA (443 nucleotides) under uncultured bacterium. Its description in RNAcentral is "partial 16S ribosomal RNA". It matches the Rfam family "Bacterial small subunit ribosomal RNA", at positions 338 to 795 of the family's 1533-position model. The record is from RNAcentral.
CCUACGGGGGGCAGCAGUGGGGAAUAUUGGGCAAUGGGCGCAAGCCUGACCCAGCAACGCCGCGUGAAGGAAGAAGGCUUUCGGGUUGUAAACUUCUUUUGUUAGGGACGAAGAAAGUGACGGUACCUGAUGAAUAAGCCACGGCUAACUACGUGCCAGCAGCCGCGGUAAUACGUAGGUGGCAAUCGUUAUCCGGAUUUACUGGGUGUAAAGGGCGUGUAGGCGGGUCUGCAAGUCAGAUGUGAAAAUCACGGGCUCAACCUGUGGCCUGCAUUUGAAACUGUAGUUCUUGAGUACUGGAGAGGCAGACGGAAUUCCUAGUGUAGCGGUGAAAUGAGUAGAUAUUAGGAGGAACACCAGUGGCGAAGGCGGUUUGCUGGACAGCAACUGACGCUGAGGCGCGAAAGCGUGGGGAGCAAACAGGAUUAGAUACCCGGGUAGUG